RNAcentral lists this ribosomal RNA (520 nucleotides) under uncultured Glomus. RNAcentral's name for it is "SSU rRNA". It matches the Rfam family "Eukaryotic small subunit ribosomal RNA", at positions 569 to 1086 of the family's 1831-position model. The record is from RNAcentral. Lineage: Eukaryota; Fungi; Glomeromycota; Glomeromycetes; Glomerales; Glomeraceae.
AGCAGCCGCGGUAAUUCCAGCUCCAAUAGCGUAUAUUAAGGUUGUUGCAGUUAAAAAGCUCGUAGUUGAAUUUCGGGGUCAGUAGAUUGGUCGUGCCACUGGUAUGUACUGGUCUUACUGGCUCCUCCUUCCUGAUGAACCGUAAUGCCAUUAAUUUGGUGUUGCGGGGGGAAACUGGACUGUUACUUUGAAAAAAUUAGAGUGUUUAAAGCAGGCUAACGCUUGAAUACAUUAGCAUGGAAUAAUGAAAUAGGACGUUCGAUCUUAUUUUGUUGGUUUCUAGGAUUUGACGUAAUGAUUAAUAGGGAUAGUUGGGGGCAUUAGUAUUCAAUUGUCAGAGGUGAAAUUCUUGGAUUUUAUUGAAGACUAACUACUGCGAAAGCAUUUGCCAAGGAUGUUUUCAUUAAUCAAGAACGAAAGUUAGGGGAUCGAAGACGAUCAGAUACCGUCGUAGUCUUAACCAUAAACUAUGCCGACUAGGGAUCGGAUGAUGUUAAUUUUUANGUACUUCAUUCGGCGC